GAUGAACGCUAGCUACAGGCUUAACACAUGCAAGUCGAGGGGAAACGGCAUUGAGUGCUUGCACUCUUUGGACGUCGACCGGCGCACGGGUGAGUAACGCGUAUCCAACCUUCCCAUUACUGUGGGAUAACCUGCCGAAAGGCAGACUAAUACCGCAUAGUCUUCGAUGACGGCAUCAGAUUUGAAGUAAAGAUUUAUCGGUAAUGGAUGGGGAUGCGUCUGAUUAGCUUGUUGGCGGGGUAACGGCCCACCAAGGCUACGAUCAGUAGGGGUUCUGAGAGGAAGGUCCCCCACAUUGGAACUGAGACACGGUCCAAACUCCUACGGGAGGCAGCAGUGAGGAAUAUUGGUCAAUGGACGGAAGUCUGAACCAGCCAAGUAGCGUGCAGGAUGACGGCCCUAUGGGUUGUAAACUGCUUUUGUAUGGGGAUAAAGUUAGGGAAGUGUCCCUAUUUGCAGGUACCAUACGAAUAAGGACCGGCUAAUUCCGUG
RNAcentral lists this ribosomal RNA (492 nucleotides) under uncultured bacterium. Its description in RNAcentral is "partial 16S ribosomal RNA". It matches the Rfam family "Bacterial small subunit ribosomal RNA", at positions 28 to 507 of the family's 1533-position model. The record is from RNAcentral.